This is a non-coding RNA of Bos taurus (domestic cattle), 72 nucleotides long. NCBI's taxonomy places the organism in Eukaryota, Metazoa, Chordata, Mammalia, Artiodactyla, Bovidae. The record is from Rfam.
UCCCUGGUGGCUCAGAUGGUAAAGCAUCUGCCUACAAUGCAGGAGACCUGGGUUCAAUCCCUGGGUCGGGAA